CCAAAAAGAGACAGAAAGAGAGAGAGAGAGAGAGAGAGGGAGCGAGCGAGAGAGAGCGCUGAUGGCUGGCAGAGGGUGUGCAAAGUCAAAUGGUUUGUCCUCUUUCCUUUGUUUACGCAAGAUUUGUUGCCAUUACGGGGCUUAAUCCGCGGGAUUUCUAGGGGUAACCGUCAACCGCCUACCCCAGGAUCUAGGAUCCAGAACCCUAGCACGAAAAGGUUUUUGACUCCGUGGCAGCCUAGGGUCCGUUUAGUGCUAAUGAAUAAUGCUAAGAAGUCAUUAAUUAAUUGAAAUUUCAUUACAGGACACACAGGCAGUGGGAUAGGGCGAGAGAGAGAGAGAGAGUCAUCUGGCAGAAGAACCCCCUCAAACCAUUACUCAGCUGUCGUUACCAUGGGGCUUAUGCUGAAUCAUCAUCAUCAACGUGCUGGCUGGGCACGCGGCAAAGUGGAGCAGGGCCAGGCCCGAAGAAGGCUUACGGAGCUGGCGCCUAACAGAAGGAAGACUUUACACAACAAAUUACUGGCCGACUGGGGACUGGCGACUGUCGACUGGUGACUGGCGGGGGUCGAAGAGCUUACGAAAGGCGUCUGACGAGCCCAAGGAAUCAGCAACCUGAUUGAUUUCAGUGCAAACAAAAGACCAGAACCAAUUUCACACCACGGAGUGCAUCACAUCUAUCAUUAACUGUGUGUUUUGCUUGUCCAUCCAAUUUUCAGUGUUUUUAUCACAAGAAAGUGCCAUAAUCCGCGAGCAAUCAAUUAGAUACAUGGAGCGAGCACUAAGCACACCACGAAGCGGCAGACAGAAGACAGAAGACAUCGGAACCACGGCAGAGAUAUUACUCGACACAGAGCUAUCAGUGUGACUGCGGCGGGUCUUAUCUUAUCGCUGCGUCUUCCGAUAACGAAUAGAAUUACUUUCUGUAUUCAUUCUUUUUGGGUGUGUUGUCGCCUAAUCUUGUGCCACCUCCACCUGGUCACCAUUCGUUGGGGACCUGGUCUCAGUUUGGCUUUGGCGGCGAGAGUGAAGACACACGUCUCCAGGCUCUCCAUGGCUGUGUGCUUUUCGUGACUCUGGGCACGGACAUGGACAUGGACACGGACACGGACACGGCCCACGAACAUGCCUCGGCUUAAUUGGCCAGCAACUGUGAGCUUUGUAAUCACCUUUAUGGGUCAUUUCAUAAUAUCGCCAGGCGAUGGCGAUGUCGAUGGCGUUGGCAACAAUGAAAGGAAACGGCGGCUGCCGUCGCAUCACGUGUGGCACGAUAAAUAUAAUUUGUCCUAGGCGCAUGUAAUUUUUACCUUCAACCGUAACUCCCCAACGAAAUUAUACCCCUCCACACAAAACAUAGUAUAGAAAAUAUUUAUUAACAUUUUCACUUUUUUUGCAGGCCUGAUUGCUCACCUCUCCGCGGCUUUGGCAUGGCACCAGCUGCGCACCCCUCGGCAGGCAGAUUUUUUGUGUGUUCUCAAGUUUGCUCCACGUCUACCCUGUAGAUCCGAAUUUGUUUUACAUUAGCUUUAAGGACAAAUUCGGUUCUAGAGAGGUUUGUGUGGUUCAAUGUACAACGAAAAGAGAUUGAUGUUCAAGUGAAAAGUGUUGAAGUGAUUUGUCAAGUAAAUAAUUUGUUAAGUUAACUUAAUUAUUGUUAGAUAAAAUGAAGAUAUCUUAAAUGGAAUAUGCAUUGCCAAUAUUUACGAAAUUAUUACAUUAGUUUUGUUCUGUCUUUAUAUUAAGCUAAUUUUUGUUCAAUUACCUUAAAAGGCUUCGCUAAGGAUUGCCCUUUCAAAACUGUCAACAAACUGAAUAAAUGGCUCACUCUAAGAGAACCCACUUGACGACAGUCAAAUUCUCUAUUAAAUAGUCUUGAUAAUGAAACGUUCUUUUGACAUAAUUUUAUUGUAUUUCGAAUAUUUACCUUCAUUUAGAAGGGCAAGGCAAUGAUUCAGAGAUUAGUUUAAAAAUGUCUGACCAUAAAAUGACGUACCUUAAAGACACUUGAAAGUAAAUUGAAAAGAUUGUCACACAAGAUAGCAGCAUUAAUUUCUAAAUAGGGCUCCCCUCAU
RNAcentral lists this long non-coding RNA (2072 nucleotides) under Drosophila guanche. The stretch from base 1486 to 1561 matches the Rfam family "mir-10 microRNA precursor family". The record is from RNAcentral. Lineage: Eukaryota; Metazoa; Arthropoda; Insecta; Diptera; Drosophilidae.